AGUGAGUGAGUAUUUUUAAGUUCUUUAGAAAUUUGUCAAUUGGAUUGAAGUGAAAUAUUUUUUUUAUGAAGGCUAGACUUAAUUUUCAAUAGUUCAAGUAAAUUUUGGAAGAAAUUUAAUAAUUCAAAAAGGAGAUAUUGGCAUUGGAAGUUCAACAUUUAGAGUAGAGUGAAAGACCACUAAUAUCCAAAUAGAUUUUAAGAUUUUUCUUCUAUUUGAUGAGUGCAAUUAUCUUCAAAUUUUUUGUACUUUUUUUUAAUUAAGAAGUUCAAAGGUUUGUAAAUUUUUAAGCAAGAUUAAUGGUUUAAUCAAUAAAUAUUGAGAUUCUAAUCUACCUUCAUAUUAGUUUGAGUUAAUUAGAUUUUUGUUGGGAUUUGGUUUAUAAUUUAGGAUUUAUCUAAAGUUUGGUUUGAGAUUUAGGAUUUAUUUAGGACUUAAGAUUUGUCCAAGAUUUGAUUUAGGAUUUAGGAUUUGUCUAUGAUUUGAUUUAGGAUUUAGAAAUUAAUUAGGAUUUGAUUUAGAAUU
This 525-nucleotide long non-coding RNA is filed under the name Physcomitrium patens. Its description in RNAcentral is "long non-coding RNA (PPAT_LNC002121)". Lineage: Eukaryota; Viridiplantae; Streptophyta; Bryopsida; Funariales; Funariaceae. The record is from RNAcentral.